GUGGUGAGAUGGCUUAGUGGUUAAGAGCACUAACUUCCCUUCCAGAGGUCCUGAGUUCAAAUCCCAGCAACCACUACA
This 78-nucleotide transfer RNA is filed under the name Mus musculus (house mouse). Its description in RNAcentral is "tRNA-Gly". The record is from RNAcentral. Lineage: Eukaryota; Metazoa; Chordata; Mammalia; Rodentia; Muridae.